AGUGAACGCUGGCGGUAGGCCUAACACAUGCAAGUCGAACGGCAGCACAGGAGAGCUUGCUCUCUGGGUGGCGAGUGGCGGACGGGUGAGGAAUACAUCGGAAUCUACUCUGUCGUGGGGGAUUACGUAGGGAAACUUACGCUAAUACCGCAUACGACCUACGGGUGAAAGCAGGGGAUCUUCGGACCUUGCGCGAUUGAAUGAGCCGAUGUCGGAUUAGCUAGUUGGCGGGAUAAAGGCCCACCAAGGCGACGAUCCGUAGCUGGUCUGAGAGGAUGAUCAGCCACACUGGAACUGAGACACGGUCCAGACUCCUACGGGAGGCAGCAGUGGGGAAUAUUGGACAAUGGGCGCAAGCCUGAUCCAGCCAUACCGCGUGGGUGAAGAAGGCCUUCGGGUUGUAAAGCCCUUUUGUUGGGAAAGAAAUCCAGCUGGCUAAUACCCGGUUGGGAUGACGGUACCCAAAGAAUAAGCACCGGCUAACUUCGUGCCAGCAGCCGCCGUAA
Molecule: ribosomal RNA, 506 nt
Filed under: uncultured bacterium
Lineage: Bacteria
Description: partial 16S ribosomal RNA
Rfam family: Bacterial small subunit ribosomal RNA
Source: RNAcentral